UACGGGGGGGGCAAGCGUUGUUCGGAAUUACUGGGCGUAAAGGGCUCGUAGGUGGCCAACUAAGUCAGACGUGAAAUCCCUCGGCUUAACCGGGGAACUGCGUCUGAUACUGGAUGGCUUGAGUUUUGGAGAGGAAGGCGGAAUACUUGGUGUAGAGGUGAAAUUCGUAGAUAUCAAGUGGAACACCGGUGGCGAAGGCGGCCUUCUGGACAAUGACUGACGCUGAAACGCGAAAGCGUGGGGAGCAAACAGG
RNAcentral lists this ribosomal RNA (253 nucleotides) under uncultured bacterium. RNAcentral's name for it is "partial 16S ribosomal RNA". It matches the Rfam family "Bacterial small subunit ribosomal RNA", at positions 524 to 776 of the family's 1533-position model. The record is from RNAcentral.